RNA transcript from Micropterus dolomieu (smallmouth bass), 4677 nucleotides. It is a transcript of the gene named pyroglutamylated RFamide peptide receptor b, with no coding region annotated. The record is from RefSeq and is a predicted model, not a curated record. The transcript is spliced from 7 exons. NCBI's taxonomy places the organism in Eukaryota, Metazoa, Chordata, Actinopteri, Centrarchiformes, Centrarchidae.
CAACAUCCAGACGCACUUGUGGGUUAUAAAGACAGGUUUCGGCUCUGAACAUUCACAGAUUGAUUCACCUUCUUGCAAGCAAGUCCCUCUCAGGAUUGAAGACACGUCAGGAUGGCAGCAGCCUCGACAGAUUCGGGGCAGGGGUCCACCAAAAUAACUCCUCAAGUGCUGCAGGAGAUGCUUCAGUACUACAACCUGAGCCGCCAGGAGUUUAUCAACACUUACAACAUCCAGCCGCUCGUCUACAUCCCCGAGUUACCGUCAAGCGCAAAGACCACCUUCGUGAUCGUAUAUAUGGUUAUUUUCGUCAUGGCUCUGGCUGGAAAUAGUUUGGUCAUCUACAUAGUUUUGAAGAAACGGGCGAUACACACGGCGACAGAUAUUUUUAUUUGCUCUUUGGCGGUCAGCGACCUGCUCAUCACUUUCUUCUGCAUACCUUUUACUUUGCUGCAGAACAUCUCCUCUGAAUGGUUCGGGGGGGUCCUGGUUUGCAAGACAGUUCCCUUUGUACAGACUACAGCCAUAGUGACAGGCAUCCUCACAAUGACCUGCAUUGCCAUUGAGAGAUACCAGGGCAUUGUCUUCCCAUUGAAAAUGAGAAGGCAGUACUCUUCCAAAAGAGCACACAAGAUGCUAGGGCUGGUAUGGAUCGUGUCAGUGAUAGUGGGUUCACCAAUGCUGUUUGUGCAACAAUUAGAGGUGAAGUAUGACUUCUUGUAUGAUCACUAUCACGUGUGCUGUCAGGAGAGUUGGCGCUCUCUGACUCACAGGCAGGCGUACACCACCUUCAUCAUGGUGGCUCUCUUCCUGCUCCCUCUGGCAGCCAUGCUGUUCCUCUACACACGUAUCAGCAUUGAGUUGUGGAUACGCAAGAGGGUGGGCGACUCCUCAGUACUCAACACCAUGAACAACAGGGAGAUCAGUAAGAUCUCAAGGAAAAAGAAAAGAGCCGUUAAAAUGAUGAUCACCAUCGUUCUUCUAUUCACCAUUUGCUGGGCACCGUUCCACACAGUCCACAUGCUGUUUGAGUAUUAUAACCUGGAGAAGAAAUAUGACGGAGUCACACUUAACAUGAUAAUCGCCAUUGUUCAGGCCAUCGGGUUCUUCAACAGCUUCAACAAUCCUAUCGUGUAUGCCUUCAUGAAUGAGAAUUUCAAAAAGAGCUGCGUGUCCACCCUCUCCCAUUGCAUCCGCAAACCUAACCAGCAGGGUGGCGCUGCGGUGGGGCCCAGACUGAGCGUGCAGUUCAUCAAACCCCAAUGUAGAGAAGCCUUCCUGGAAUCAGAUGAAGGCAAGAGCUCUGAGCCGCACUCAGCAGUGAAAGGCCCUUCAAGUUCCUCGCAUGGAGAGAGCUCACUGGAAAUAAUAGGAGAAAAAAUCUCCUGCAUCCAAACAGAGCUCCCUGCAAACAGUUCCUCUCAAGUCAAAUGAGAAGCAACCGGCUCCAAGUUCAAGAGUUUAGCUGUUCAUCUCAACCGUCCUGUUUGCUGUCAAUCACUGGAACUUGAUACUGCCAGCACCAGAGACUUGCAUCAGCAUGGACAUUUUACUCUACCUCCACUGGUCAUGGAGCUCAGGAUUUAUCAGGACAACGGCUGCUUUAUUCCAAACUAUUUCACUGUAUGAACCUGAACUGUGUGUGAGACAUUUUGGAUGUGUAGAAGUAAUAUAAUAAUAAUCAAUGAAGUUACGCUGCUGUGCCUCCUGCGUAAAUGCGCACAGCAUCUCUCUUAAUGGGGAGACGCUUCACCCCAAGGCUGGACUGGGACAAACUGCCAUUUUUGACCCAGGCAGCCACCAAAGUCACCCCUCAACAUUACACCAUGCUUCCAUAUAAUAUCUGUACCUACUGUAAUAUUCCCCCAAACACGCUGAGUGGUAUCUGCAGUGGAAAAGUGUACCAGUGCAAGUGAAGUGUACUCAUUCGUACUCCAUGGCCACCUCUGACCACCAUGGAGUACACAACUCAUACUCAAGUACAAUAAGGGGUGUGACAAAACACUUACGCCAUGAGAUGUGACAUUGCACAAGAUUGGGGACAUGAGAACAAGACAAGAAUAUAUUUUAAUACUAUUUAGAAAAAAUUCUUGAUGAAAUAUACAAUUGGGGGAUUAGAUUUGGAGCAUUAAACACUUAAUUUCCUGCAUUCUGGUGAAAAUGUCUGCAAUUUAUGGUGGAAAUUUUAUUGUCUAUAUAAUGGGAAACAAUAUUCAGCUGGCAGGCAACAAUUCAAAAUCUAAAUAAAUUGUUGAAGAUAAUGCAGUAAGACUCUCUGGAUAUGCAUUCUGUAGCUAUUGCUUUUAAAUAUGUUUUCUCCUGUAGAUCAACAUUUCUAACAUAAUAUCCCUGCUGAGUCAGCACACAGUCUGAGUCUUUGGUUUGGGGAAGUAGCCUCUUUAAAUGUGCAUGUAACAGUCUUUUCACCUCAAUGAUAAAUUUAUUAAUUUCAAUUCAUUUAUAAAGUCCUGGAUAAAUAGUUCAUGUGUUUUCUGCUCAUGGUCAAACCUUUUUAGGGGUCUCCUCCUCCUCCUCCUCUUCCUAAUUGGCACGUAGGUUGCAAAUUCCACCCACUACUCAGGCAAAAAAAUGGCCCUUUUAAACCUGAUGGUGGCGCUAUAACAAUCAACUUUGCAUUUUUGCAAUUAUAUUAAAUGACUUUGUUUAGAGUCAAACUUCUUUCAUCAUUUUAAUCUCUGGAUUCAUCUACAUCUUUGCUCCAAUGGUCUUCUUCUCUAAAAGGGUCAAAUUAUACAACCUGAAACUUUGGCACGAUCAUCUAUGGAAGUCGCUGAUCAAAAGUUAUCAAAAGAAUCUGUUUCUUUUUUCAGAAAUUUUUACUUUUGUGUCGUUAAGUACAAUUUUACAUAAAUGCCCGUAAAUCAAAAUUGGCUUUAGCUAUUGUAACCGAACUUGACACGUUCAGAUUUUAGGCCCGAGCUUUGCUGUGCAGUCCUGGGAUAUUCUUCCACUAGGGGGCGCUACACUUGCAAAAAGUUUAUACCUCUUAAUUCGCUGGAUGGAUUUGUACGAAAUUCGGUUUGCACGAUCUAGGUCCACUACUUACUUCAUGUAAAAAAUUUGGUAAUGAUUGCGGAAAGUGGGCGUGGCUUAUUGCAAGAAAUGUACAUUUCUAGACAUUUCUCAUUCCUAACUUCAAAAAAUCUAAGAAAAUCACCCGUACGUCCUAUAGAGCAGACUUUUUUUCAGCAUAUCCACUGAUAUAUGACUAAUGUUUGCCUCACUGUAACCUUUGGUCAAUUCAGAAGUCAGUCACUCCAUAUUUUUCAGAAUAGGUUUAAUCAAUUAACAUCUGUAUCUCCAAGUCUUUCUUCAAACGCAACCACACUCGACAGAGUCGAAAAUUUUUUUCAGAAUUUUCCCGCCACAUCUUGACAGUUGUAAGUGUUUUAAGUUUAAACUGACAAAACUAUCCAGGUCUGGCACAUGUGACGUCACUACCUCAACUUGUUAGAUGUGUCAAAAUGUCAAAUGAUGCGUUUUUCACAACUUGCUUGGAUCCCAAUCAUUGCUGCUCGCGGCUAUAUUUAUUUUUAUUUUUAGAAAGUCUACCUGCCCUAUAGCUACUCUGCUGUGCAUUACUUUAUUGCUCAGCCGGUAAUAGGCUAUCUUCUUUAGACUGUUUGACCGACACAGUUUGGGGCUGCAUAUGAAACAGAGACCAACCGAAAACACUACUGAUCAUGCAGAAAUCUCGCCAUAAAUCCACACACGUGAACUUCAACAGCUCUGAUAAAGUGCAGCUCACUGUCCCAAACAGACCUCAGUUUUAAGAUGUUUAUAUUGUAAAACUCUACCAGUUACAUCCGUCGUCACAACUGUCUGGGCUCAAAGUGCACUUGAUUAGUGUCACGGCUUACGCCAGUGUCUCAUCAGCUGGGCUGAGUUGAUUAGUGCAGAGUCAAAAACUUUCUCUUGCACCACCCCCUGAUAUUUUACGGCCGUAGGCAAACACCAAUGUCGCUUAAGCCACGGGCCGGGCCAGCUGUCCCGAUGGUUGGCCCAUACAAGGGGCAGAAAGUUUGAUCGCGCAUUUGAUCAUUUUAAAUAACUAAUACAACUAAUGAAUACAAAAGGAACCCCAUAGAGUCAUGGCUCUCUUAAACUUCACGACUGCCAAAAAGGCUUUGCAAAUUAUACUCCAGUGUAUUCUCCAGUAUUGGCGCGCUGAGAUCGAUUUCCACUUCAGCAGCGGGAGGGUUAGCUUUUUUCUCAUUCAUUCCCAUGUGAACCAAACUAGUGAAGCUUUUUACAAUUACAGUAUUAAUGUGUUUGCUUAAUGGUGCUGUGGAAUAUUUUUGUAAAUUUCAUGUCUAUAUGUGAUUUUAGUGAAUAUUAUAAUUUUGGUGUAUAUGUAAAAUUAGUUCUGUAAUUUGUUUGCCAAUAAAAGCUAUUCACAGUAAUGUGUAGAUUGUUUAAAAGAAAAAAAACAAUCAUUCAUUUGAUUGGUUUUGUCAUUAAAAAAAAGAUCAGGUUGCCAGUAGGCUCUACUUUCAGCAUGUGUCACACAAGUUUUGACCUUGGAUGAUUGUUGUCAGUGGUGCUUCUUAAAGACUGUGCUCUUUCCCAAAUGCAAGAACAGGCUUUUGAAGUGAAUGAGGUCAUUAUCAUGUUGGUAUAUUACAUUUUACAUUCAAUAAAAUGAUCCAUUACAACUUU